This 66-nucleotide transfer RNA is filed under the name Nephtys sp. 'San Juan Island' YV-2008. Its description in RNAcentral is "tRNA-Trp". The record is from RNAcentral. Lineage: Eukaryota; Metazoa; Annelida; Polychaeta; Phyllodocida; Nephtyidae.
AAGGCCUUAAGUUAAUCAAACUAGUUGCCUUCAAAGCAUCCAAUGAGGCCCUUACCUCAGGCCUUG